UCUAACGUGGCAGAUAAGUGCAUUGGAUUUAAGCUCCAUAAAUAAAGGUCAAAACUUUCAUUAGAA
This 66-nucleotide transfer RNA is filed under the name Acholotermes sp. CMRT125. RNAcentral describes it as "tRNA-Leu". It matches the Rfam family "tRNA". From Rfam's summary of the family: Transfer RNA (tRNA) molecules are approximately 80 nucleotides in length. Their secondary structure includes four short double-helical elements and three loops (D, anti-codon, and T loops). Lineage: Eukaryota; Metazoa; Arthropoda; Insecta; Blattodea; Termitidae. The record is from RNAcentral. RNAcentral also lists the same sequence under 1 other name.